This is a long non-coding RNA of Malaclemys terrapin pileata, 3591 nucleotides long. RefSeq lists it as uncharacterized. NCBI's taxonomy places the organism in Eukaryota, Metazoa, Chordata, Testudines, Emydidae. The transcript has 5 exons. The record is from RefSeq and is a predicted model, not a curated record.
CCCCAGUGUUCCUGCUGGGCCAAAGAUUGCAGAGAAGGAGAAAGCUAAAAGCCAGGAAAUUACACUGUGUAUUCAGCACAAUUACAACCUGACACAGCGAUCCUGGCUUUUCUGCCUUGCCAGAAACCUCAGCAGAAUCAGGUUGGGGGUGGGAGGGAGGGGAGAUUAGUUCCCAGCAUCCCCACAGGAAAUUACCCCACUCCCACCUGGUACAUGAGCAAAGGCCUCACUAAAUUGAGCAAGUAGCAGUGAAAUCAUCUCUCCCUCUAGAGAAGGCUUUUAAGAAAGAGGAAGCAGUAAUGUUAACUUUGACAGUGAUGCCAAUCCAAUUCAUUGGUAAGAAUGGAUUGUUAGGAAGCUUCAAUGAUAUAUUUUCUGCUGUAGCACACACUGUCAGUGGACAGCAAGACUGAAAGACCUUGUGAAGGAAGAUGAAGUACUUUCCAGUCCAUUAGUAACUAAAGAAGAAUAAACAAUGAGAGCUUUGUCUCUUCUGUAACACUAAAAGCCACAGUAGGACCUUCCACCCAGCAGAGCUGCAGUACUUACAAAUAAAACUAACUAAUUCAUGAAUUUGUUCUGGAUGCUCUGGAAAUGGCCGCAGAUGUACUAGGAACCUUGGAAAUGCUUCAUAAACUUCCAAGACCCAUGUCCACUAUGUAUGCCUUACUGAUGAAGAGGAACUCCAUUGGUCUGGAGUUCUUUGUAAAAGCAUAGGAAGAGGAAUGAUCACAGCCCUCAAAAGACCCCCAAUGGCAGAGCCUAUUAUGGAAUGUUAAAAAUGCCUCUGUGGAUCUGAGGUAACAAUGCUUCUGUGGGUCUGAUACAGCAAAAGAUAUUUUAUUCAAAAUGUAUCGGAUGUCACAGAGUUUGUGCAAGAUGGGAGGGGGAGGUUGUACUCUGCUAUUUGUUGGUGCUGUAAUAGAACAAAAGGAGCUCUAAUGCAUAUGCUAUAGGACUUUGGCAGCUGUGGAAAGAGGUAGACACCAGUGACAAUUAGUUCUUCGCUUCAGCAGCCAAACUUUAGCUGAAAAUUACAUCCUAGGUUACAGACCUACUGCACUGUUACACCACAAAGACUUUAAUUUUUCAGGGCUACAGUGAUUACCAAGCACAUGAUUUUACAAAAAUAGAGUAGUGCUAUUUGGAAUUGUGAGUUAAGAAUAAAAUAAAGAAUAGCUUUUCAAUGUACAAGGCAAUUAUAUUAAUUCAAAGACAUUUGGACCACAUUUCUUGAUACAUUUGAAUAAAGAAUGCUGAGAUGGCUCAAAUAAUGCCAGACUUCCGGUCCACCUGCCCUCUUUACUUUUUCUCCUCUUCUUGAGCCUCUCUCCCUUAAUCCCUCAUUCCCUUUUUUGCCUAUUUGUUUCUCUUUUUUUUAUCCCCAGCCUAACAUGUUAUGUCUGCGUAAUAUUGUUUGAUUUUUGUAUUGUCUGAUCUUGCAGCUUUGACAAAUUGUAAAGUUGUGUAAUUGCAUAUUUUUAUUGGCUAUUCUGUGAAAUUUGUGGUGUUUGGUAACCUACAAAAGCUGUAAGUCAUUUUACCUUUUUGUAUUUUUGAUUAUUUUAUGGAAAUUAAUAAAAUAUUUACAAAACCUAGGAAUAUAUAGCCUAGAUAACUUGCACUCAGGAGUUCUAAAAGAGUUGGCUGAGAAGAUCUCUAGACUGCUGAUAAUUUAUCAUAGAAUACGAGGGAACUGCCAGAAGACUUGUAGAAUACUAAUAUUGGGCCAGUAUUUAAAAUGGGCAAAUGUGAUGGGGUAACUAUAGGCUGGCUAGCUUGACAUCAGUUCUGGGCAAAAUAAUAGAAAAGCUGAUAUGGGAUUCAGUUGGUAGAGAUAUAAAGCAGGGAGCAGUCAAUAAGCUGACCACAGACCAAAUCCGAACCACCAGACGCUUAUUUUUAUCAUCGUUAUUUUUAUUAUUUUCUCUGAAGUUUGGACCUUGACUAUACCUUGACCAAGACAUUUGGACCUUGACAAAAAUAAUUGAUUACCCCUGGUUUAAAGGAUAGGAGUAUAAUUCAUUCCUGAAAACAAGGUAUUAUGGAAAAUAAAUCCACAUCCCUGAGCAACAUAGUUAUACCAACUUAAUCCUCCGUGUAGACAGCGCUAUGUCAGUGGGAGAGCUGCUCCUGCCAACAUAGCAACUGCCUCUCAGGGAGAUGGAUUAACUACGCCAAUAGGAAAAGCUCUCCCCCGUCAGCAUAGGAGCGUCUUCACUAAAGUGCUAUAGCGACACAAUUGUACCAGUGCAGUGUGCUGCUAUAGGUGAAAACAAGCCCUUAGACUUUUGUAAGGUGUUGAUUAUCAACUCAGGGUGUUUCUAGUGGGGUUCCACAGGGAUUGUUUCUAGGCUUAAUGCUAUUCAUAAUCUUCAUCUAUUAAUUGCUGAGUAAAUACAAAAUCAUUGCUAACAAAAUUUGUGGAAGACAGAUUGGUGGUACGGUAAAUAUAGAUGAGGACAGAGCAGGCAUCAGAAUGAUCGGGAUUGCUUGGUAAACUGGGUCCAUUUAAACAAAAUGCAUUUUAAUACAGCCACAUGCCAAGUUAUACAUCUAGGAACAAAUAAUGCAAUUCAAUGUGAGUUCCCAGUGUAACAUGGUGGCAAAAAAGGCUAAUUUGUAUGGUUUAGAUGCCUAAAAGGGAGUAGUGAGGAGUAAUAGUAGGGAAAUUAUUUUACUUUUGUACCCAGUAUUGGUGAGACCAAUACAUGAUUGCAGGGGACUGAACUUGAUGACCUCUCCCUUCCAGACCUAUGAUUCUGUGAUCCUAGUGGUCCUUACUACAAAUCUGGGAAUGUGAAUUUGCAUCUACCGAGUCCUUGGGAAACUUGUUAAUUGUAUUAUUCUUAGGGGCAAAACAAGCAUCCAAACUAUAGCAACAAUGAACUGCAGUUUUCCCAGGAGAGUAUGGAUUUGUGAUGAAGCAUUGCCUGGUUCAACUGUAAAGGUUGUAGCAGCUUGGGCUGUACUAGAUACAGCCACUCAGAGUCCUCUUGCAAGACAGAGGAAGAUUUGUAUGCUUGUUGCUAAUGGCUGAAUGCCCUGUUUACUGAUAGUAUUAGUUUACUUUAGAGCAUGAGUAAGUAUUUUGGCUAACAAGAAGGUUCAGUAUAUUGUAGCUUUGAAUGUUAUUUUGGGAAAGGUGCAGGGGAGGCAGUCCAAUGCCACAGCCAGAACAAAAGGUUUGGUCUACAUCCAAUCACGUAGAAGAGAGGCAAAAGCUCACUGUUAAUAUUGAGACAUUAAAGGUCCAGGAGAGGAAAAUCACAGAAAGAGGGGAAGACUAACAAGAAUCUCAUUCCAGUAAUCACAUAAUUUAACAACAAAACCUUCAACUGAAUAAUUGGAAUUAUCAGCGCCCCAAGCCUCACUGAUACUGUCCAAGAUUUGAAAAUUAUACAGAUGAACUGCGGAGCAGUGAGCGACGAGCAUGGCGAGCGAUUUCACCAGGUCAUUGCAACAAUGGAGAAACGCUAUCAGGGCAAAUGGAGCCCAUCAAUGCUUGCAGACUAUUGCUGGACAGUGACAAGAGAUGCUCCAUUUACUGAAUACAAGAGACAAGCCAAGAAGCGCCGAGUAGACACGGAA